This 300-nucleotide ribosomal RNA is filed under the name uncultured Lactobacillus sp. RNAcentral's name for it is "bacterial SSU rRNA". It matches the Rfam family "Bacterial small subunit ribosomal RNA", at positions 496 to 795 of the family's 1533-position model. Lineage: Bacteria; Bacillati; Bacillota; Bacilli; Lactobacillales; Lactobacillaceae. The record is from RNAcentral.
GGGAGAUACGUGCAGGGGGCGGGGGUAAUAGGUGGGUGGCAAGCGUGGUCCGGAUUCAUUGGGCGGAAGGGGCGGGUAGGCGGCGAGUUGGGUCGGUGGUGAAAACUGGAGGCUCAACCGGCAGAGGUCGAUCGAAACCAUCUGGCUAGAGUCCGGGAGAGGAGAGUGGAAUUCCUGGUGUAGCGGUGAAAUGCGCAGAUAUCAGGAAGAACACCCGUGGCGAAAGCGGCUCUCUGGAACGGUACUGACGCUGAGACGCGAAAGCGUGGGGAGCGAACAGGAUUAGAUACCCGGGUAGUC